UUGGUUCAGGGCUGCUCCAAUCGGAAUUCCGGUUGGAGUAGAUCGGGAAAUGUUGAAUUUUGUUUUGGUCAUACUUUUGACUCGGGACUCCGUUUUGGGAGUUCUUUAUAUCGUUGGAAAGCUCGUUUUGAGCUCUAUGUGAUUAUCUAUAUUUUAAAUGCCAUGAAUAUAUUUUAUAAAUGUGAAAUCAGGGGUUAACCCUAUUUGUGAAAAUCCCGGAUUGUGUGACUAGGAUUAUCGGCACCUGGUCAGGAGCACCUGGAGAUUUGGAAUCUCUACCUUUGCGGGACAACAGGAAAGGGUAAGACUAUUGCUGAUCAGCCAUGAGUGCAGGAGCUGGACGAAGAAUGUACAUGUCCGAGCCAUAUCAGACCAAGCGGGUUGGGGUCUACCAGUGUUGUAUUUUUGAGACUCUAUUUUGCCGCUUAGGCCGGCUGAAAGAAAAGGACUUGUAAUAAUAUUUUGUAAAUGUUUUUGGGAUCCCAACUUCUGUAACUUUUAGAUUGUAAAGUUUAAAUUAUUACAAGUUUUAUUUUAA
Long non-coding RNA from Cannabis sativa, 538 nucleotides. RefSeq lists it as uncharacterized. NCBI's taxonomy places the organism in Eukaryota, Viridiplantae, Streptophyta, Magnoliopsida, Rosales, Cannabaceae. The transcript is spliced from 2 exons. The record is from RefSeq and is a predicted model, not a curated record.